Molecule: ribosomal RNA, 836 nt
Filed under: Haptophyta environmental samples
Lineage: Eukaryota; Haptophyta
Description: bacterial SSU rRNA
Rfam family: Bacterial small subunit ribosomal RNA
Source: RNAcentral
GAGGAAUAAGCAUCGGCUAACUCCGUGCCAGCAGCCGCGGUAAUACGGGGGAUGCAAGCGUUAUCCGGAAUCAUUGGGCGUAAAGCGCCUGUAGGUUGUUUAAUAAGUCUGUUGUUAAAGACUAGGGCUCAACCCUAGAAAAGCAAUGGAAACUACUAGACUAGAGUAUGGCAGGGGUAGAGGGAAUUUCUAGUGUAGCGGUGAAAUGCGUAGAUAUUAGAAAGAACACCGGUGGCGAAAGCGCUCUACUGGACCAUUACUGACACUCAGAGGCGAAAGCUAGGGUAGCAAAAGGGAUUAGAUACCCCUGUAGUCCUAGCCGUAAACGAUGGAUACUAGAUGUUGUACGUAAAGUACAGUAUCCUAGCUAACGCGUUAAGUAUCCCGCCUGGGGAGUACGCUCGCAAGGGUGAAACUCAAAGGAAUUGACGGGGGCCCGCACAAGCGGUGGAGCAUGUGGUUUAAUUCGAUGCAACGCGAAGAACCUUACCAGGGCUUGACAUACUACAAAUUCUUUAGAGAUAGAGAAGUGCCUUCGGGAAUGUAGAUACAGGUGGUGCAUGGCUGUCGUCAGCUCGUGUCGUGAGAUGUUGGGUUAAGUCCCGCAACGAGCGCAACCCUUGUUUUUAGUUACUAAUUCGUUAGGUUUUCUAGAAAGACUGCCGGUGACAAACCGGAGGAAGGUGAGGAUGACGUCAAGUCAGCAUGCCCCUUAUGUCCUGGGCUACACACGUGCUACAAUGGUUAAGACAAAGAGUCGCGAGCUCGCGAGAGUCAGCUAAUCUCAUAAACUUAGCCUAAGUUCAGAUUGUAGGCUGCAACUCGCCUGCGUGAAG